This 603-nucleotide small RNA is filed under the name Pan troglodytes (chimpanzee). RNAcentral's name for it is "processed transcript". Lineage: Eukaryota; Metazoa; Chordata; Mammalia; Primates; Hominidae. The record is from RNAcentral.
CCCAGCUGGCCCAGUUUGUGCAUGAGGUGAAGAAGAGCCCCUUUGGCAAGGAUGUUCGGCUUGUCUCCCUCGGCUCCCGGCAGAACCUUUGUGUAAAUGAAGACGUGAGAAGCCUAGGUUCUGUGCAGCUUAUCAACGACCGCUGCGUGGACAUGCAGAGAAGCAGGCACGAGAAGAAGAAAGGAGCUGAGGAGGAGGAGGCAGGAAAAGCAGGCAGCCUGCCCCUUCUACAACCACGAGCAGAUGGGCCUUCUCCGGGAUGAGGCCCUGGCAGAGGUGAAGGACAUUGAACAACUGCUGGCCCUUGGGAAGGAGGCCCGGGCCUGUCCCUAUUACGGGAGCCGCCUUGCCAUCCCUGCAGCCCAGUAUUCCAGUGAAAUUCUGUGCAUGGGGACAGUGGAGCCCAGAAAAGUUAAGUGACUCAUAUUUUCUCACUAAGCGUGGGUGAUGGAGCCAUUCAGUUUUCCGAUAUUUUAUUUUUUAUAUGAGUAUUCCUUUAACUGGAAACUUUCCUAACAACAAACACCUAAAGAUCUGCAGAGUUGCUUUUAUUUUUGUUACCCCAGCUCCACGCCUUAACCCUCACUUUGAAAUAGGAUGUAU